This 492-nucleotide ribosomal RNA is filed under the name uncultured bacterium. RNAcentral's name for it is "partial 16S ribosomal RNA". It matches the Rfam family "Bacterial small subunit ribosomal RNA", at positions 29 to 507 of the family's 1533-position model. The record is from RNAcentral.
AGUGAACGCUGGCGGUAGGCCUAACACAUGCAAGUCGAACGGCAGCACAGUAAGAGCUUGCUCUUACGGGUGGCGAGUGGCGGACGGGUGAGGAAUACAUCGGAAUCUACUUUUUCGUGGGGGAUAACGUAGGGAAACUUACGCUAAUACCGCAUACGACCUACGGGUGAAAGCAGGGGAUCUUCGGACCUUGCGCGAUUGAAUGAGCCGAUGUCGGAUUAGCUAGUUGGCGGGGUAAAGGCCCACCAAGGCGACGAUCCGUAGCUGGUCUGAGAGGAUGAUCAGCCACACUGGAACUGAGACACGGUCCAGACUCCUACGGGAGGCAGCAGUUGGGAAUAUUGGGCAAUGGGCGCAAGCCUUAUCCAGCCAUACCGCGGGGGUGAAGAAGGCCUUCGGGUUGUAAAGCCCUUUUGUUGGGGAAGAAAAGCAGCAGGUUAAAACCCCGCUGUUCUGACGGUACCCAAAGAAUAAGCACCGGCUAACUUCGUG